Molecule: ribosomal RNA, 503 nt
Filed under: uncultured bacterium
Lineage: Bacteria
Description: bacterial SSU rRNA
Rfam family: Bacterial small subunit ribosomal RNA
Source: RNAcentral
AUUGAACGCUGGCGGCAUGCCUUACACAUGCAAGUCGAACGGCAGCACGGGAGCAAUCCUGGUGGCGAGUGGCGAACGGGUGAGUAAUACAUCGGAACGUGCCCAGUAGUGGGGGAUAGCCCGGCGAAAGCCGGAUUAAUACCGCAUACGACCUGAGGGUGAAAGCGGGGGAUCGCAAGACCUUGCGCUAUUGGAGCGGCCGAUGUCGGAUUAGCUAGUUGGUGGGGUAAAGGCUCACCAAGGCAACGAUCCGUAGCUGGUCUGAGAGGACGACCAGCCACACUGGGACUGAGACACGGCCCAGACUCCUACGGGAGGCGGCAGUGGGGAAUUUUGGACAAUGGGCGCAAGCCUGAUCCAGCCAUGCCGCGUGCGGGAAGAAGGCCUUCGGGUUGUAAACCGCUUUUGUCAGGGAAGAAACGCUCUGGGCUAAUACCCUGGGGUAAUGACGGUACCUGAAGAAUAAGCACCGGCUAACUACGUGCCAGCCGCCGCGGUAAAAC